AACGAACGCUGGCGGCAUGCCUAACACAUGCAAGUCGAACGAGACCUUCGGGUCUAGUGGCGCACGGGUGCGUAACGCGUGGGAACCUGCCCUUAGGUUCGGAAUAACUCCCCGAAAGGGGUGCUAAUACCGGAUAAUGUCUUCGGACCAAAGAUUUAUCGCCUUUGGAUGGGCCCGCGUUGGAUUAGCUAGUUGGUAGGGUAAAAGCCUACCAAGGCGACGAUCCAUAGCUGGUCUGAGAGGAUGAUCAGCCACACUUGGACUGAGAAACGGCCCAGACUCCUACGGGAGGCAGCAGUGGGGAAUAUUGGACAAUGGGCGAAAGCCUGAUCCAGCAAUGCCGCGUGAGUGAUGAAGGCCUUAGGGUUGUAAAGCUCUUUUACCCGGGAUGAUAAUGACAGUACCGGGAGAAUAAGCUCCGGCUAACUCCGUG
This 433-nucleotide ribosomal RNA is filed under the name uncultured bacterium. RNAcentral describes it as "partial 16S ribosomal RNA". It matches the Rfam family "Bacterial small subunit ribosomal RNA", at positions 29 to 507 of the family's 1533-position model. The record is from RNAcentral.